AACAUCGCGCACCUGCGGGAACCUGCGGAGGGAUCAUUACAGAGUUGCAAAACUCCCUAAACCAUUGUGAACGUUACCUAAACCGUUGCUUCGGCGGGCGGCCCGGGUCCUUCCCGGCGCCCAUCGGCCCUCGCGGGCGCCCGCCGGAGGUAAACCAAACUAUUGCAUUGUAUGGCCUCUCUGAGUCUCCUGUACUGAAUAAGUCAAAACUUUUAACAACGGAUCUCAGAUCGGAAGAGC
This 240-nucleotide unclassified non-coding RNA is filed under the name soil metagenome. Its description in RNAcentral is "partial contains 5.8S ribosomal RNA, internal transcribed spacer 2, and large subunit ribosomal RNA". The record is from RNAcentral.